Long non-coding RNA from Podarcis raffonei (Aeolian wall lizard), 1509 nucleotides. RefSeq lists it as uncharacterized. The record is from RefSeq and is a predicted model, not a curated record. Lineage: Eukaryota; Metazoa; Chordata; Lepidosauria; Squamata; Lacertidae. The transcript has 9 exons.
GCUGGUUAAGCUUUCAACUAGGGACCCACCAGAAACAGGAAGUGGCUCUCUUAAAAUUCCUCACUCUGGAGAAGUCAUGCUGAAGCCUAGCAUAAGCUUUUAAAGCUGCAGCCUUAAUUAAAAAUGGUUGUUUUUAUUAAAAACAAGGCAGAAUAGAUGAUAUCCUUCAACCUUCAUUUGACUCAGGGGGAACACAAAGGAAAACUAGCCCCUAGUUAUGGAAGAUAAAAGACAACAGCAUAGCUCUCACAAACUAUAAAAGAAAUGGCAGACCUGUUUCUAGACUGUAUAGCUUCAGAUGACACACAGGAUUCAUCUCAUAUUCAUUCUGACAAGUCCUUCAAGUCCAGAUGUCUUUGGAUGGGAUGGAUGGCUUGUGUGUAAAUUUAGCAUUGUCCUGUUCUUCCAUAUUAUAUAUGAAAGGUCACUUGCAGGAAUCUCAAAAAUCAGGCCAGUUUUUCAACUUCUGAAGGAUUAUUAACUUCAAAGUCGGAAGAAAUGUCGGCCUUCUAUGUUUGGAAAUGCCAGCAGCCUUUGCAUAUCCCCACCACAGUACCAAGCAACCCCCAGCAGAGAGGAGCGAUUACUGCCUCGGUGGCGAGAGGAUGGCUUUUGAUCUCCUAACAUAUUGGAAAUUACUUAAAGGGGUCCUGUCCUCUUUUGCACCUGACCAUCCUAUCAGCAACUUGAAUGGGUGGGGAACGGGAUCGGCAUCAAACCUUUUGAGAUGCACCAAUCAGAUAACAAAGAGUUGAGGAAUGGCUGUGCUCCUGCACUCCUAAGAUCAGAGUGGACCCGAUACAUUUCGGCACCUGAGGCGAUCCACAAAACGGUGUGUGCAUCUCCCUGUCAGGGAAGAAUAGGCACAAAGACCAAGUCUUGCUACACACUGAGAUGAAGUGCCUAGCUCUGUAUUCAAGACGAUGAAUUGAAAAAGUGGAGUUUAAGAAGGGGAGCUUUUCAGCCAGAAGAAUUUGAACAAGAGUUUGGCCUGCAGCCUGCCAAGGGAUGAUAUGGAAAUCGUGGAAAAUCACUUCCCUGGGGGUCAUUUGCAAAUUGUUCAUCUAACAACCAGGAGAAGGAACUAUCCCAUUUUAAAUAUUUAGGCUGAUAUACUGAAUACUGAUACCGAAGCAACCCAUAGCAAAGUCGAACAAGAUAUCACACACAAAUGAAAUGAUGCAACCAUGAGUUAAGGAACAGAGGGAGAUCAAAAAGGCAACUGCGGUGCAGGGUGAGGAGGUGGGUCUGUUUUAAGCCAGGGGAGGGGACCUCAGUGAGGACUCCUUCAGUGAGGACUCCUUCGGGAGUCCCUAUCAGCUCCACCAUUCUGAAUCCCUGCUUCCACACCUGCCUAUAACUGGCCAAUUUUGCAGACGGGCCAAUUUGAAUUCCCACAGCCAGUGGGAGAGGUUGUUAUGUCUUCCGUUGGCUGUUGGAGCCUGGCAAGGAGAGGCUGGGUGAUGGCGGCAUGGAUAUGCCGGGCUGUAACUGCCAUUCCACUUUUAG